UACAGAGACUGCAAGCGUUAUUCGGAUUCACUGGGCGUAAAGGGUGCGCAGGCGGCCAAGUGUGUGAGGCGUGAAAGCCUGGGGCUUAACUCCAGAAUUGCACCUCAAACUACUUGGCUAGAGCAUUGGAGAGGGUAGCAGAAUUCCUGGUGUAGCGGUGAAAUGCGCAGAUAUCAGGAGGAACACCCGUGGCGAAAGCGGCUCUCUGGGACGGUACUGACGCUGAGACGCGAAAGCGUGGGGAGCGAACAGG
Molecule: ribosomal RNA, 253 nt
Filed under: uncultured bacterium
Lineage: Bacteria
Description: partial 16S ribosomal RNA
Rfam family: Bacterial small subunit ribosomal RNA
Source: RNAcentral